CUAACAGUGAAGUGUUCCAAUGUUUUUCUUGUGUUUAUAUUUGUAAGUUUCCUUUAAUUGUGGAACUUUGUUUUGUAAUUGGUGGUAGCGGAAGUAACGUGCAGCACGGACUGAGUUUGUGGUGACACUAGAGCAGAGAAGCAUGGCGCUCUGUGAGUUCAGCUGCAUCGUCCUACUGCUUUAAACUGGACUUAAGUUUUAAAGAACACAUAAGUUAAGUUAAGUUAAAUUAAACCCAAUUGUGGACUCACCGUUGAGAGGAGUAGCGGCUCGCGCGAAGAACGGACUUUCUCCCGUUUGGCUACAGCAGGCAAUGAGUUCUCACGAUGAUGAUGAUGAUGACGACGCUGAGUGAUCUUGUCGCCGAACAUUGAAUAAAUCAUCUGUAAACAAGAACUUGUCCGCGUGGUGGCUAACGGGAGCUACAGGUGGUCUGGCGUCACGUCUGCUUUGGUUGUGGUUGUGGGGUUCCCUCGCUCAAAACGAGCAUAAAAGUUGUUGAGCUCGUUGAGGAAGGAGACAUCAGAGGAUGCGGGGGAGGGUUUGGUGGUCCUGUAGUCUGUGAUGGUCUGGAGUCCUUGCCACAUGCGUCGGGGGUUGGAGUUGGAGAAGUGUUCUUCUACCUUCUUUUUGUAAUGGUGUUUGGCUUUUUUGAUGCCCUUCUUUAGAUUAGCCCUGGCUGUACUGUAGGCGUGUGCAUCUCCUGACCUAAAGGCAGUGUUGCGGGCCUUCAGGAGGAGACGAACAUCCCGGUUCAUCCAAGGCUUCUGGUUGGGGUACAUGGUGAUCCGUUUCUGGGUGGUGACACUAUUAAGCCCUUAUUUAUAAAUGUUUACACAAUAAUAGACACCGUGUGCUCUGUGACAUUGUAGUCUUCUACUUCUGCUUCCAUCGGUUUGCAUUUUAAACUCCCAGCCUUUGACGCCAUCACCGAGGCAUACGACAAUCUAGUGGGGGAGGAUGUGGUGAAAAUCCGACAGCUGUGGAUGGUCACAGAGUGUUACCAAUGGCGCGGCUGAUGUUUCUCUGAAAGACUGAUUCUUUCUAAAUAAUAUAAGCCGUUCAUAACAACCUGAGAGACUGGGAGUUUAAAAUGC
Molecule: long non-coding RNA, 1097 nt
Organism: Astatotilapia calliptera (eastern happy)
Lineage: Eukaryota; Metazoa; Chordata; Actinopteri; Cichliformes; Cichlidae
Source: Ensembl